GCUGGGCUACAGCAGUGAUUUGGUGAAGUUUUGUCAAAUAAAUGAAUAUACAUGAGAAGGGCAAGCUGAAGGGCAAGCAAUGACACACAGGAAGAGUGAACAAAGGCAAAAGGAGAGGAGGGAGAGCAAAAAUAGAAAAGGAGAGAGAGAUCAGCUGACGGGCUGGGGAGACAAGCACAGAAGGCAAGACAAUGAUGGCAGAGGACGAAGAAACACAGCCAGAGGAAGCAAGGAGACGGAAGGAAUUAAGAUUCCUUGAAGAAAUGGCUGAUUCCAUGGCUGGGGCAAAGUAAAUACAAGAUGAAUUGAGGACAUCUGAUUAUGCCAAGGUCAAAAUAGUUCAAAAGGCUUAUGAAGAAUUUCACCCACCCACCAGGUUUACUGUUACUCCCCAGAGGAUACCAGAAUAUGCAAGAUAAAGACUUAACUCACAUAAACUAUCUACACAGUAAGUGAGGUUGACAG
Long non-coding RNA from Myotis davidii, 465 nucleotides. RefSeq lists it as uncharacterized. The transcript is spliced from 4 exons. NCBI's taxonomy places the organism in Eukaryota, Metazoa, Chordata, Mammalia, Chiroptera, Vespertilionidae. The record is from RefSeq and is a predicted model, not a curated record.